UACGAAGGGGGCGAGCGUUGUUCGGAAUUACUGGGCGUAAAGGGCGCGCAGGCGGCCCUUGAAGUCAGGCGUGAAAGCCCCGGGCUCAACCUGGGAAUGGCCGUUGAAACUGGCGAACUGGAGUGUGGCAGAGGGGGGUGGAAUUCCGCGUGUAGCAGUGAAAUGCGUAGAGAUGCGGAGGAACACCGAUGGCGAAGGCAGCCCCCUGGGCUGACACUGACGCUCAGGCACGAAAGCGUGGGGAGCAAACAGG
RNAcentral lists this ribosomal RNA (253 nucleotides) under uncultured bacterium. RNAcentral describes it as "partial 16S ribosomal RNA". It matches the Rfam family "Bacterial small subunit ribosomal RNA", at positions 524 to 776 of the family's 1533-position model. The record is from RNAcentral.